AUGAACGCUAGCGGCAGGCCUAAUACAUGCAAGUCGAACGGUAACAUGAGUAGCAAUACUUGAUGACGAGUGGCGCACGGGUGCGUAACGCGUAUGCAAUCUACCUUUAACCGGUGAAUAGCCCGAAGAAAUUCGGAUUAAUACACCAUAGUAUGAUGAGGAGGCAUCUCCUUAUCAUUAAAGUUCCGACAGUUGAAGAUGAGCAUGCGUGACAUUAGCUAGUUGGUGAGGUAACGGCUCACCAAGGCCACGAUGUCUAGGGGAUCUGAGAGGAUUAACCCCCACACUGGUACUGAGACAGGGACCAGACUCCUACGGGAGGCAGCAGUAAGGAAUAUUGGACAAUGGUGGCAACACUGAUCCAGCCAUGCCGCGUGAAGGAUGAAGGCCCUGUGGGUUGUAAACUUCUUUUGUACGGGAAAAAACCUUCUUACGUGUAAGAAGCUGAUUGUACUGUAAGAAUAAGGAUCGGCUAACUCCGUG
This 483-nucleotide ribosomal RNA is filed under the name uncultured bacterium. RNAcentral's name for it is "bacterial SSU rRNA". It matches the Rfam family "Bacterial small subunit ribosomal RNA", at positions 29 to 507 of the family's 1533-position model. The record is from RNAcentral.